UGUUAGUCUGAUGGGCUUCCCUUUGUGGG
Molecule: non-coding RNA, 29 nt
Filed under: Homo sapiens (human)
Lineage: Eukaryota; Metazoa; Chordata; Mammalia; Primates; Hominidae
Source: RNAcentral